GACCGCGUGGCUCAGUUGGAAGAGCAUUGGGCUAGUAUUCCAAAGGUCGUAGGUUCGAAUCCCGCCGUGGCCA
Molecule: transfer RNA, 73 nt
Filed under: Paramuricea clavata
Lineage: Eukaryota; Metazoa; Cnidaria; Anthozoa; Malacalcyonacea; Plexauridae
Rfam family: tRNA
About the family: Transfer RNA (tRNA) molecules are approximately 80 nucleotides in length.
Source: Rfam by way of RNAcentral